RNAcentral lists this non-coding RNA (725 nucleotides) under Malaccina discoidalis. The record is from RNAcentral. Lineage: Eukaryota; Metazoa; Arthropoda; Insecta; Blattodea; Blattellidae.
AAAGAAUUUUGUGUUGGAUAGGUAUAUUUAUUUUGAUUUGAGUAUAUAUGUGAAUUUUUGUGUAUAAUGUGUUUAUUUCUUGAUGAUUGAAAUAUGUUUUUUCGUUUGCAGUGUAUAGAAUUGAAUAUGGGGGGGAUUUUGAUUUGGUUAAAGUUAAAUAAAUAUUGAUGAAAUAUGUGCCAGCAGUCGCGGUUAGACAUAGAAUAUAAAUGAAUAUUUUUAGUUAAGGUAGUUAUUAGUUAAUUGAUUUUUUUUUGUGGAGAGGGGUGAAAUGAAGAAAUAUAAUUAUGGGGUUAAUUUAAUAAUAGGAGGCUACGAAAUCUAUUAUUUAAACUAGGAUUAGAUACCCUAUUAUUUUGGAUGUGAAGUGAGGUUGAACUUGAGUAGUAUUAGUGAUCUUGAAACUUAAAGAAUUUGGCGGUAUUUUAGUCUUUUUAGAGGAAUCUGUCCCGUAAAUGAUAAUCCGCGUUGGACCUUUCUUGAAUUUUUUAAUUUGUAUAUCGUUGUUGUUGAAUAUUUUUGUAGAUAAUAAUGUUCUUGAUUCAUGGAUUGUGUAUAAUUUCAAAUCAAGGUGCAGUUUAUAUUUAAGUGGAGAUGGAUUACAAUAUAUUUUUUGUAUUAUGGAUUAAUAAUUGUAAUUUUAUUAUGAAGGUGGAUUUAAUUGUAAUUUUAUGAAGAUUGUUGGUAUGAAUAUGCUCUAAAAUAUGUACACAUCGCCCGUCGCU